RNAcentral lists this long non-coding RNA (337 nucleotides) under Homo sapiens (human). RNAcentral's name for it is "non-protein coding LINC01574:2". The record is from RNAcentral. Lineage: Eukaryota; Metazoa; Chordata; Mammalia; Primates; Hominidae.
UUCAGGGCUCUAAGGCCCCCGAAUGUGCCUCCCUGCAGACCGCGAGCGGAGCCCCCGCACCCCCGGGGCUGGCCCCUGGCCUCCCGCCCCAGCCCGGCCGGCGGCCCCUCCCUGCUCCGCUGUCCGCCUUGGGUACAGAAGCGGCGAGUGGCCCCUUUCCAGGAGGCCUGUUUACCAGCACGACAACGGCAAAUUAGUGCGCUUAAGAGGCAUUCGGCGUUUAUCCCGGCAAACAUGCGCAGCGUGAAGGGGGCCUGCGAGGCCUGCUCCCCGGAAUCUGCUGAAAUGGGGUCUGCUGUGCAUCUUAAUCGACUUACUUCCACCCAUCACAUUAAAC